RNAcentral lists this ribosomal RNA (683 nucleotides) under Janibacter anophelis. Its description in RNAcentral is "bacterial SSU rRNA". It matches the Rfam family "Bacterial small subunit ribosomal RNA", at positions 809 to 1489 of the family's 1533-position model. The record is from RNAcentral. Lineage: Bacteria; Bacillati; Actinomycetota; Actinomycetes; Micrococcales; Intrasporangiaceae.
UUGGGCGCUAGGUGUGGGACUCAUUCCACGAGUUCCGUGCCGCAGCUAACGCAUUAAGCGCCCCGCCUGGGGAGUACGGCCGCAAGGCUAAAACUCAAAGGAAUUGACGGGGGCCCGCACAAGCGGCGGAGCAUGCGGAUUAAUUCGAUGCAACGCGAAGAACCUUACCAAGGCUUGACAUAUACCGGAAACAUCCAGAGAUGGGUGCCCCUUUUAGGUCGGUAUACAGGUGGUGCAUGGUUGUCGUCAGCUCGUGUCGUGAGAUGUUGGGUUAAGUCCCGCAACGAGCGCAACCCUCGUUCUAUGUUGCCAGCACGUGAUGGUGGGGACUCAUGGAAGACUGCCGGGGUCAACUCGGAGGAAGGUGGGGAUGACGUCAAAUCAUCAUGCCCCUUAUGUCUUGGGCUUCACGCAUGCUACAAUGGCCGGUACAAAGGGCUGCGAAACCGUAAGGUGGAGCGAAUCCCAAAAAACCGGUCUCAGUUCGGAUUGGGGUCUGCAACUCGACCCCAUGAAGUCGGAGUCGCUAGUAAUCGCAGAUCAGCAACGCUGCGGUGAAUACGUUCCCGGGCCUUGUACACACCGCCCGUCAAGUCACGAAAGUCGGUAACACCCGAAGCCGGUGGCCCAACCCUUGUGGGGGGAGCCGUCGAAGGUGGGACUGGCGAUUGGGACUAAGUCGU